RNAcentral lists this ribosomal RNA (494 nucleotides) under uncultured bacterium. RNAcentral's name for it is "partial 16S ribosomal RNA". It matches the Rfam family "Bacterial small subunit ribosomal RNA", at positions 30 to 523 of the family's 1533-position model. The record is from RNAcentral.
AUUGAACGCUGGCGGAAUGCUUUACACAUGCAAGUCGAACGGUAGAGGGGCAACCCUUGAGAGUGGCGAACGGGUGAGUGAUGUAUCGGAACAUGCCCAGUCGUGGGGGAUAACGUAGCGAAAGUUACGCUAAUACCGCAUACGAUCUAUGGAUGAGAGCGGGGGAUCGCAAGACCUCGCGCGAUUGGAGUGGCCGAUAUCAGAUUAGGUAGUUGGUGGGGUAAAGGCCUACCAAGCCGACGAUCUGUAGCUGGUCUGAGAGGACGACCAGCCAAACUGGGACUGAGACACGGCCCAGACUCCUACGGGAGGCAGCAGUGGGGAAUUUUGGACAAUGGGCGCAAGCCUGAUCCAGCCAUUCCGCGUGCAGGAAGAAGGCCUUCGGGUUGUAAACUGCUUUUGUACGGAACGAAACGCGCUGAGCUAAUACCUCGGCGUAAUGACGGUACCGUAAGAAUAAGCACCGGCUAACUACGUGCCAGCCGCCGCCGUAA